RNAcentral lists this ribosomal RNA (254 nucleotides) under uncultured bacterium. Its description in RNAcentral is "partial 16S ribosomal RNA". It matches the Rfam family "Bacterial small subunit ribosomal RNA", at positions 524 to 776 of the family's 1533-position model. The record is from RNAcentral.
GACGUAGGGCGCGAGCGUUGUCCGGAUUUAUUGGGCGUAAAGAGCUCGUAGGCGGCUUGUCGCGUCGGCUGUGAAAACCCGUGGCUCAACCAUGUGGUCUGCAGUCGAUACGGGCAGGCUAGAAUUCGGUAGGGGAGACUGGAAUUCCUGGUGUAGCGGUGAAGUGCGCAGAUAUCAGGAGGAACACCGGUGGCGAAGGCGGGUCUCUGGGCCGAUAUUGACGCUGAGGAGCGAAAGCGUGGGGAGCGAACAGG